GCCGGCCUAGCUCAAUUGGUAGAAGCAACUGACUUGUAAUCAGUAGGUUGGGGGUUCAAGUCCUCUGGCCGGCACCA
This 77-nucleotide transfer RNA is filed under the name Staphylococcus aureus. RNAcentral describes it as "tRNA-Thr(tgt)". It matches the Rfam family "tRNA". Rfam says of the family: Transfer RNA (tRNA) molecules are approximately 80 nucleotides in length. Lineage: Bacteria; Bacillati; Bacillota; Bacilli; Caryophanales; Staphylococcaceae. The record is from RNAcentral.